RNAcentral lists this non-coding RNA (26 nucleotides) under Mus musculus (house mouse). The record is from RNAcentral. Lineage: Eukaryota; Metazoa; Chordata; Mammalia; Rodentia; Muridae.
CUCAGAGAACUCAGAAAUGGUCAAGU